Molecule: ribosomal RNA, 519 nt
Filed under: uncultured eukaryote
Lineage: Eukaryota
Description: SSU rRNA
Rfam family: Eukaryotic small subunit ribosomal RNA
Source: RNAcentral
AGGGCACCACCAGGAGUGGAGCUUGCGGCUUAAUUUGACUCAACGCGGGGAAACUCACUUGGUCAGGACACUGUAAGGAUUGACAGAUUGAAAGCUCUUUCUUGAUUCGGUGGAUGGUGGUGCAUGGCCGUUCUUAGUUGGUGGAGUGAUUUGUCUGGUUAAUUCCGAUAACGAACGAGACUCUAUCUUGCUAACUAGUCGCAGAUUUAUUCUGACUGUUGAGCUUCUUAGAAGGACAGGUGAAUUUAACCAUACGAGAUUGAGCAAUAACAGGUCUGUGAUGCCCUUAGAUGUCCAAGGCUGCACGCGUGCUACACUGAAGUCGUCAACAUGUGAACCUAUCUCGGAGGAGUGUGGGGAACCCUCUGAAACGGCUUCGUGCUAGGGAUUGGGGUCUGUAAAUCCACAUGAACGAGGAAUUCCUAGUAAGUGCGAGUCAACAUCUCGCGCUGAUUACGUCCCUGCCCUUUGUACACACCGCCCGUCGCUACUACCGAUUGGAUGCGUUAGUGAGGUUUU